RNAcentral lists this unclassified non-coding RNA (595 nucleotides) under Hevea brasiliensis (rubber tree). Lineage: Eukaryota; Viridiplantae; Streptophyta; Magnoliopsida; Malpighiales; Euphorbiaceae. The record is from RNAcentral.
AGAUAACAUUUAGAUAUCUUCAAACACACCAUCUUAAUUUGUUCAAUAAAAAAAUAUAAGGAGGCACACCACUUGAUAUAGAAUUAAAUAUUGAUGCUAUUUGCUAAAUUCCUUAGGCCAAUUUUAUGAGACAAAUUAAAUAAUAAUUAAUAUAAACCCAAGUUAACCGUCUUCUUAUUUUAAAAGCCCACCUGGACUCCACCUAGAAAUUUUGUUUAAUAUGUUCAAUCUUGAGAUCGAUCUACUGAUGUUGCCAAAAUCAAAGAUGUUCUGUUGACAUAUCAAUAGAGUAUUAAACAUGUAAUAAUGGAUUUUUAACCAGUUCAAAAACAAAUAGUUAUCCAUGAAAAAUCAGUUACAUUUUCAAUAAAUAAAAAUCAAGAUACAUGUAUAUAAUAUAUAGCCCCAUUCCCAACACAAUCCCACAAAAAUACUUUGCAGAAAUAACAGCUUGCAAAGAGAGAGCUUGCAACUUUCAAAGUUAAGUUGAAGGUAACACAUCACUCUACUCUCCACUUUCUUACUCUUCAAAACAGCUUCACAGAAUGCCUUUUGAAGCUUUUCCAUACAAAAUAUGGAUUGUGUAAAUAAAUAG